UAGUUUGAUUAUGGCUCAGGACGUAUUGCUGGCGGCGUGCUUAACACAUGCAAGUCGAGCGAAGCCCUUUUUUAGAACUCUUCGGAGGGAAGAGAGGGUGACUUAGCGGCGGACGGGUGAGUAACGCGUGGGCAACCUGCCUUACACAGGGGGAUAACAAUUAGAAAUGAUUGCUAAUACCGCAUAAGACCACGGUACUGCAUGGUACAGAGGUAAAAACUGAGGUGGUGUAAGAUGGGCCCGCGUCUGAUUAGGUAGUUGGUGGGGUAGAAGCCUACCAAGCCGACGAUCAGUAGCCGACCUGAGAGGGCGACCGGCCACAUUGGGACUGAGACACGGCCCAAACUCCUACGGGAGGCAGCAGUGGGGAAUAUUGCACAAUGGGGGAAACCCUGAUGCAGCGACGCCGCGUGAGUGAGGAAGUAUUUCGGUAUGUAAAGCUCUAUCAGCAGGGAAGAAAAUGACGGUACCUGACUAAGAAGCCCCGGCUAACUACGUGCCAGCAGCCGCGGUAAUACGUAGGGGGCAAGCGUUAUCCGGAUUUACUGGGUGUAAAGGGAGCGUAGACGGACUUGCAAGUCUGAUGUGAAAAUCCGGGGCCCAACCCCGGAACUGCAUUGGAAACUGUAUAUCUAGAGUGUCCGAAAGGCAAGUGGAAUUCCUGGUGUAGCCGUGAAAUGCGUAAAUAUCAGGAGGAACACCCAUUGGAAAGGGGGCUUGUUGGAAAAUGAACUGAACGUGAGGC
This 745-nucleotide ribosomal RNA is filed under the name uncultured bacterium. RNAcentral's name for it is "bacterial SSU rRNA". It matches the Rfam family "Bacterial small subunit ribosomal RNA", at positions 9 to 752 of the family's 1533-position model. The record is from RNAcentral.